UAUCUCUGUAGAGUCUGCAUAUCAAUAAGCGGAGGAAAAGAAACUAACUAGGAUUCCCUUAGUAACGGCGAGUGGAAGCGGGAAGAGCUCAAAUUUGAAAUCUUCAAGGUUUUACCUUGACGAAUUGUAGUUUAAAGAAGUGUUUUCUGUUGGAGUUUUCGGUAAAAGUUCUUUGGAAUAGGACAUCAUAGAGGGUGAGAAUCCCGUAUUUGACCAUUAUUUUCAGCUGUGUGAUACACUUUCAAAGAGUCGGAUUGUUUAGGGAAUGCAGUCCAAAAUGGGUGGUAAAUUUCAUCUAAAGCUAAAUAUUGGCGAGAGACCGAUAGCGAACAAGUACCGUGAGGGAAAGAUGAAAAGAACUUUGAAAAGAGAGUUAAACAGUACGUGAAAUUGUCAAAAGGGAAGCGUUUGACACCAGUGUUGUUUUUCUCGAAAAUCAAUUAAGAAUGGCUUGAUUCUGUGUUGUAUUGACCUUAUCAGCUUUCUUCACUUUUUUCGAGUCUUUCUUAAUGCACUUUUCGGUUAACAAGUCAACAUCAAUUUCUUUUGUUGUAAAAGAGUAUUCGGAAGGUGGCUUUCUUUUCGGAGAAAGUGUUUAUAGCCCUAUACUUCUACAAUCGGAGAGAUUGAGGUCUGCAGCGUAGAUCCUUCGGGGUUAGAUACAUUUGUGCUAAGUUGUAGCUUUUCAUAGACAACUUGUUGACUAUGUUUAGUCAUGCGGCUUACUCGCUUGUGCUAUUUUACCUACGCUUAGGAUGUUGAAGAUGUAGCACAUCAU
Molecule: ribosomal RNA, 778 nt
Filed under: uncultured Neocallimastigales
Lineage: Eukaryota; Fungi; Neocallimastigomycota; Neocallimastigomycetes; Neocallimastigales
Description: partial large subunit ribosomal RNA
Rfam family: Eukaryotic large subunit ribosomal RNA
Source: RNAcentral